This 293-nucleotide ribosomal RNA is filed under the name Staphylococcus aureus. RNAcentral's name for it is "partial 23S ribosomal RNA". It matches the Rfam family "Bacterial large subunit ribosomal RNA", at positions 1736 to 2028 of the family's 2925-position model. Lineage: Bacteria; Bacillati; Bacillota; Bacilli; Caryophanales; Staphylococcaceae. The record is from RNAcentral.
UCGGGAGAAGGGGUGCUCUUUAGGGUUAACGCCCAGAAGAGCCGCAGUGAAUAGGCCCAAGCGACUGUUUAUCAAAAACACAGGUCUCUGCUAAACCGUAAGGUGAUGUAUAGGGGCUGACGCCUGCCCGGUGCUGGAAGGUUAAGGGGAGUGGUUAGCUUCUGCGAAGCUACGAAUCGAAGCCCCAGUAAACGGCGGCCGUAACUAUAACGGUCCUAAGGUAGCGAAAUUCCUUGUCGGGUAAGUUCCGACCCGCACGAAAGGCGUAACGAUUUGGGCACUGUCUCAACGAG